This 253-nucleotide ribosomal RNA is filed under the name uncultured bacterium. RNAcentral's name for it is "partial 16S ribosomal RNA". It matches the Rfam family "Bacterial small subunit ribosomal RNA", at positions 524 to 776 of the family's 1533-position model. The record is from RNAcentral.
UACGUAGGGUGCGAGCGUUGUCCGGAAUUACUGGGCGUAAAGAGCUCGUAGGUGGUUUGUCGCGUUGUCCGUGAAAACUCACAACUCAAUUGUGGGCGUGCGGGCGAUACGGGCAGACUAGAGGUAGGCAGGGGAGAGCGGAACUCCUGGUGUAGCGGUGGAAUGCGCAGAUAUCAGGAAGAACACCCGUGGCGAAGGCGGCUCUCUGGGACGGUACUGACGCUGAGACGCGAAAGCGUGGGGAGCGAACAGG